RNAcentral lists this ribosomal RNA (301 nucleotides) under uncultured bacterium. RNAcentral's name for it is "partial 16S ribosomal RNA". It matches the Rfam family "Bacterial small subunit ribosomal RNA", at positions 509 to 807 of the family's 1533-position model. The record is from RNAcentral.
CAGUAGCCACGGUAAUACGUAGGUGGCAAGCGUUGUCCGGAAUUAUUGGGCGUAAAGCGCGCGCAGGUGGUUUAAUAAGUCUGAUGUGAAAGCCCACGGCUCAACCGUGGAGGGUCAUUGGAAACUGUUAAACUUGAGUGCAGGAGAGAAAAGUGGAAUUCCUAGUGUAGCGGUGAAAUGCGUAGAGAUUAGGAGGAACACCAGUGGCGAAGGCGGCUUUUUGGCCUGUAACUGACACUGAGGCGCGAAAGCGUGGGGAGCAAACAGGAUUAGAUACCCGCGUAGUCCCUGUCUCUUAUAC